CGCGGUAAUACGUAGGGGGCAAGCGUUAUCCGGAAUUACUGGGUGUAAAGGGUGCGUAGGUGGUAUGGCAAGUCAGAAGUGAAAACCCAAGGCUCAACCAUGGGACUGCUUUGGAAACUAUCAGCUAGAGUGCAGGAGAGGAAAGCGGAAUUCCUAGUGUAGCGGUGAAAUGCGUAGAUAUUAGGAGGAACACCAGUGGCGAAGGCGGCUUACUGGACUGAAACUGACGCUGAGGCACGAAAGCGUGGGGAGCA
This 254-nucleotide ribosomal RNA is filed under the name Escherichia coli. Its description in RNAcentral is "partial 16S ribosomal RNA". It matches the Rfam family "Bacterial small subunit ribosomal RNA", at positions 516 to 770 of the family's 1533-position model. The record is from RNAcentral. Lineage: Bacteria; Pseudomonadati; Pseudomonadota; Gammaproteobacteria; Enterobacterales; Enterobacteriaceae.